This 71-nucleotide transfer RNA is filed under the name Phycisphaeraceae bacterium. RNAcentral describes it as "tRNA-Gln". It matches the Rfam family "tRNA". From Rfam's summary of the family: Transfer RNA (tRNA) molecules are approximately 80 nucleotides in length. Their secondary structure includes four short double-helical elements and three loops (D, anti-codon, and T loops). Lineage: Bacteria; Pseudomonadati; Planctomycetota; Phycisphaerae; Phycisphaerales; Phycisphaeraceae. The record is from RNAcentral.
UGGGGAUUGGUGUAACGGUAGCACGACUGACUCUGAAUCAGUUAGUCUAGGUUCAAAUCCUAGAUCCCCAG